UAGAAACGAUUUUCACGUGAUAACAAACCGAACGAAAAUCAUCUUCUCGACUCGUUUCUCACGUCCUCCUUUCGAUCCAACGUUAUUUAUCGAAAGGCACACAAAACAUGUCUGAACAUCGAUUUCACGAAACAAAAUGAACGAAGGUGGAAUCGAUCGGGAACGGAUGUGGACUGCUAAACGAUUCCGAUCUCGGAGGCGGCAGACUGAUACGUCGAAUUACAGAGGCGAGUAUAUCGAGUCGAGAAAGGGAAAGUCAAUCGGGUGAAAGUCACUCGUCUGGAUAGUUUUGCCUCCAUUUAUCCACCGUAUAUAUGUACACACGGUUCUAUACACGAGCAUUAAGAAAUUUUAAAGUAAACUGAACCAACGAUGAUAGAGCAUGAUAAGAUGACUAUUUUUAAAUUCCAGUUUUCCCGUGAUAAACGUUCAGAAAAUGAGG
Molecule: long non-coding RNA, 442 nt
Organism: Apis laboriosa (Himalayan honeybee)
Lineage: Eukaryota; Metazoa; Arthropoda; Insecta; Hymenoptera; Apidae
Exons: 3
Source: RefSeq, a predicted model, not a curated record